CCUACGGGAGACAGCAGUGGGGAAUAUUGCACAAUGGGCGCAAGCCUGAUGCAGCCAUGCCGCGUGUAUGAAGAAGGCCUUCGGGUUGUAAAGUACUUUCAGCGGGGAGGAAGGGAGUAAAGUUAAUACCUUUGCUCAUUGACGUUACCCGCAGAAGAAGCACCGGCUAAAUCCGUGCCAGCCCCCUCGGUAAUACGGAGGGUGCAAGCGUUAAUCGGAAUUACUGGGCGUAAAGCGCACGCAGGCGGUUUGGUAAGUCAGAUGUGAAAUCCCCGGGCUCAACCUGGGAACUGCAUCUGAAACUGGCAAGCUUGAGUGGCGGAGAGGGGUGUAGAAUGCCAGGUGUAGCGGUGAAAUGCGUAGAGAUCUGGAGGAAUACCGGUGGCGAAGGCGGCCUCCUGGACGAAGACUGACGCUGAGGCGCGAAAGCGUGGGGAGCAAACAGGAUUAGAUACCCCGGUAGUC
Molecule: ribosomal RNA, 465 nt
Filed under: uncultured bacterium
Lineage: Bacteria
Description: partial 16S ribosomal RNA
Rfam family: Bacterial small subunit ribosomal RNA
Source: RNAcentral